Molecule: unclassified non-coding RNA, 444 nt
Filed under: Hevea brasiliensis (rubber tree)
Lineage: Eukaryota; Viridiplantae; Streptophyta; Magnoliopsida; Malpighiales; Euphorbiaceae
Source: RNAcentral
CUUGGACGACAUUGGCGGAAGCAACAGGAGCAGCCUCUCGAGGAACGGUAGUGGAACCGGCAGCAGUGGCAUGACAACAAGCAUCACUUGAAAACAACGUCGCUUUUUUCGAAGUUGGGGCCAUUGUAAAGGAUUCUUGAGCUUGCCAAUUCCACAACAAUAAGUUUCAACACAAUCCACUGACAUACAGCAAAGAUCACUGGCGCUUGCCUUCUCUGUUUCUCCUCCGCCACCACAAACACAACACAGCUACUCUUCUCUUCUUCUCUUCGCCUCUCCACAAUCAACAAAAGCCCAAAAUGAAUGACAGAAAAAUCAAACGAAAAGGAGUUGAUCCUUUCCCCUUCAAUCUAGGGUUUCACCUCGAAACAGAUCGGAAAAAUCGAAACGAGACGAUCUCUCAAAAGAGGGAGAAAAUCCCAAUUUAGAGCACCUGAAUCCGAG